Molecule: long non-coding RNA, 534 nt
Filed under: Salmo salar (Atlantic salmon)
Lineage: Eukaryota; Metazoa; Chordata; Actinopteri; Salmoniformes; Salmonidae
Description: lncRNA (ENSSSAG00000107325.1)
Source: RNAcentral
AAAAACCAGGAAGAGAGAGAGAGGGCGGGAAGGAUCUAUGAACCAUAGAGAAAGAGACAAUCUACAUUGGCUGGAUUUACCGUGUACGAGCUGGACUGUUUUGGACUUACCUGUUGGCGUUUAGACCUGGACCUACCGAGAACCAGAUUUUUGUACCGAACCCUGCUAUCCUUGACCUUACCUGCGGCCUGGGUGGACCAGGACAGCGAAACAAACACACAGGUCUCAGAUGGGAAGCUCCGCAUGGCUCGUUUAGGCUGCUCAAGGAAAACUGGGAAAACUCUUAAAGGUACAAUGUUUUCAUAAUAACGUCAUCUAUUAACCUUUAACAACAAGACAAAAAUUACAUACAUUUUCAUAUUCCAUCUAUCUGAGCACACAUGACACAGAGAGGUGUUUCUGGGACCACAUAUUUUCUUUCAAGGUAGUAUUUUAGCAAUAUGCUAUGUUUAGGCCUAUUUACAUCUUUAUUUCUAUUAUUUUACCUAAUGUUGUCUAUUAGGCUGAUUUACAUUUUUUUCUCUCAAAAUGCAG